Molecule: long non-coding RNA, 1135 nt
Filed under: Anolis carolinensis (green anole)
Lineage: Eukaryota; Metazoa; Chordata; Lepidosauria; Squamata; Anolidae
Description: lncRNA (ENSACAG00000043241.1)
Source: RNAcentral
AAGCUUCUUCCCCAGAGGAAAACGCUAGUCUUUGCCAUCUCUCUUGUGCAUUGAUUUCAAUGGGAUUUAUGCUUCUGUUCUUUUAGCCAUGCUGUUUCCUCACAAUAACUUUUUUGAGUAAGUCAGUAUUUCUCUUUUGCAGACGAAUGAACCAGAAACAGUACCUCGCUUCAGGCUGCUCAGAUCAAACUUCAAACAAGAUCCUCAACCUCACACCUGAUGCUCUUUCAACUGGACCAUAUUCUCGGUCACAGACUUGUUUUUCUCUUUUCCGAAUCUAUAGCCUGACAAAUAGAAGACGUUCAAAUGGAAGACUGUAAACAGGACACGUGGUCACCAAUUUUUACAACCAUCAGCACCACAUUAACUGCCAGAACAAGUUCAGCUAUUUUUGCAUCUGAACAAUGGGGAGUGAUGGCUCAUAGAUCUAAAGGCAAGUGAAUCUGCUGAGUUUUAGCUUUAAAGAAGUUGUGCUGAACCUGUGUUGGUUGAUGUGAGUUUCAGCACUCUGGACAGCUCCAUUAAAACAAUCCAAUUGAUCUUAGAGAUACUGCUUCAUUUGAGAAUGAAAAUCCCAUCAGCUCACUCUCGGAGUUUAGAAAAACCCUCAAAAACUAAAACUUAACAAUUAAAAAUCUCUUCCCUGUACACCACACCUAAAGUUAACUGAGAUAGAUGACUGUUUCACCAUGCCCACUGGAAGGGACAUAUGUCAUGGUUGCCUUAUGAAAUGUGUCCUUAACUAACUGAUAAUCACUUUACCUAAUGGGAGAAUGACCAUGUUGGCUAGUUUAGCAUUUGCUUUUCUGUAUGUUGUGCUCCUUCUGCUUCAUGUUCUAAGAACUAAGAUGGUUCUUAGUUUACACCAACACUGAAAGGGGGCAUCUUAUGUGAUGACAAUAAGAAUCCAAGUUAUCCAUUUCAUUCAUUUCCUACCACCAGAUCAAAUCAACACGCAGAGAAUGACAGUAUAAGGAUAGUUCUUCCUGUGAUUUGGGUGGUGCUUUGUCAGCCAAUGGUUCUUCACAAUCUCAUCAUUCAGAUCUUGUUUAUAGUAUCAGCAAAAGUAGAUCAAUUAAAAGAUGUAAUUUAUCAUGUACAUGUUGACUUGCCAUUCAACAAUGUAAUGUUCCAG